AGUGAACGCUGGCGGUAGGCCUAACACAUGCAAGUCGAACGGCAGCACAGUAAGAGCUUGCUCUUACGGGUGGCGAGUGGCGGACGGGUGAGGAAUACAUCGGAAUCUACUUUUUCGUGGGGGAUAACGUAGGGAAACUUACGCUAAUACCGCAUACGACCUACGGGUGAAAGCAGGGGAUCUUCGGACCUUGCGCGAUUGAAUGAGCCGAUGUCGGAUUAGCUAGUUGGCGGGGUAAAGGCCCACCAAGGCGACGAUCCGUAGCUGGUCUGAGAGGAUGAUCAGCCACACUGGAACUGAGACACGGUCCAGACUCCUACGGGAGGCAGCAGUGUGGAAUAUUGGAGAAUGGGCGCAAGCCUGAUCCAACCAUACCGCGUGGGUGAAGAAGGCCUUGGGGUUGUAAAGCCCUUUUGUUGGGAAAGAAAAGCAGCAGGUUAAUACCCAGCUGUUCUGACGGUACCCAAAGAAUAAGCACCGGCUAACUUCGUG
Molecule: ribosomal RNA, 492 nt
Filed under: uncultured bacterium
Lineage: Bacteria
Description: partial 16S ribosomal RNA
Rfam family: Bacterial small subunit ribosomal RNA
Source: RNAcentral